UCCUCUCCGUUUACCUCUCUCAUCUCUCCUACAGAAACCCUACCCGCCGCCCCUAAUUCCACCGCCUUAACCAGGCGGCGCCCCCACCUUUCCCCACCAAAUCAACACCCUAGUGCCUUCUCGACCUCCUCUUCCCAAGUCUUUGACCAGCUCCCUUCGAAUCUAUUUGGAACUCGUCGAAUGUUAAAUCUGAAGGCCGAGCUUUUAAAACCAAACCCAAACCCGUACAUGCAGAGUUGUUCCUUGUUAAAAAACAAGUACUUGACAUCAUUUAGGAGUCCCAAGCCCCAGGUUCGAGUUUUAGUUGGUACCUCCUUAGCCCAUGAAUAACGAGUGAUUGUUGAUAAUGUGAAUCGGGUGGAAUACUGAUUGAACGCAGGCUGCAUUUGAACUUAGCUUCCCCUGUUCCUCCUACUUCUUUAAUCUUCUGUAGUAGAUAUGUAGUUUUAGAUGUUAUCUAAGCUAUCACUUGCACAUUUAAUGUUGUGUAUGUAUGAUUAAUUGGACAAUGUGUGCCAUGGGAUCACUGUAAUAGAUUGUCAAUUAUACCAUAAUCAAUAGUGUAAUAGUAUGUCGUUUCACCUGCGGAAUUGUUCUCUUAAAACCAGUUUGUGAUUGAUUGUUGAACUUACAUAAGUUAGUUUGUUCUA
This is a non-coding RNA of Nicotiana tabacum (common tobacco), 650 nucleotides long. The record is from RefSeq and is a predicted model, not a curated record. Lineage: Eukaryota; Viridiplantae; Streptophyta; Magnoliopsida; Solanales; Solanaceae.